GCGCUUCCGUUUGAACAUCGGUGAAACGUCAGUUACCUCGCGACGAUCUUUCCGCGAGGACUUUGUCCGAUCGCGCGCUCGCGGAAACGUUCUCGAUUAUCUUGAUUGCGUCGCGCUCGUUUACAGCCAGUUCCCCCGUUUAACUUUAUAUGCGUAGAUUAGUUAACCUUGGCUGUGCCAGUGCUGCAAUCUUGAAAGAGAAACCGGAGCGUUGUCAGUUUUCCGGUUCCGAUUGUCUUUCCGGUUCUGUUCGACGGUUAACCGCAGUGUAGGAAGAGUUGCGUUGGACGCGCAUUACGAUUCUUCCCUUCAACUUUCGUUAUUUAAUACGUACGUUAAUUCAUCUUAGGUCUUUUUGUUGCUAUCGCUUGAAGAAGGAAAAAAAAAGAAACGAGAAAUUUAUUUUCCGGAAGAAACUUUUUGCCAAACGGAGUUAAAAUGGAGAUGCAGAGAUGAAAGGGAUGAAUAAAAAGCGUGAGUUCCGUAUGCGUUUUCAGCGUCAAGUUCGAGAUAAGAUGAAGAAAUAUUAAGAUUCGUAUCGUUUUCACAUUUCUCCGUUUCAUCCCGGAAAUAAUCGGGAACUAGCGUUACGCAAAGUGAUCUCGCUGUCGCGCCCGCAACUUGUCAGAGUUAACCGAAUUUGGUCGCUCCUGUAGACUCGUGGUGCGCCGGGGAUUUGCGACAAUUGGCACCAUGUCAGAGGUGAGACGCGGAGGGAAGUAUAAGAGAGGUGAGUGACGUCGUUGCCAACAGUCAUCAUCAGAUGUCGUCUUGGCCGCGAUUCGUUCGCGGCACGUUCGUGUCUGCCUGUGCAGCUGAUACGCUCGGCUCGUCGUCGGCGGCGAGUAGCGUUAGUGGAGUCCGAUCGAUUUGCUGAUCAUCGCGGAUCGGCGAAUUGGUGCUUCGCAUGUGACCCCAGUGCACGCGCGAUAACCGCGCUUCGCUCGCGCGUUUUCCAGUGGAAACUUCGAUUGCCGCGAUCGAUUCCUCGAUGCGGGCCGAAUAUUAAAUAUCCGAAUCUCUGGUGUAGGACGAGUUUCGAAUAGUCAUCCGGGAAAUAUCGGUGCGUCUGAUACACCAGCCAGCGUCUCCGAUCACGUUUGUUCGAUACGCGAUGUGAAACUGUGACGUAGAGAGAGAGAGAGAGAGAAAGAUCGCGAGCAGUGCCGCAGCAGGUGCAUAUUGAUUCGACGAUCGACAACGUUAUCGAAACGCGGAAGGAAUGGCGUUAUUCUCCGGUGGCGGUAGCGGUGCCGGUGGUGGCGGUGGCGGGCCGCCCAUUAAACCGGAAGAUAGCAUCCCUUCCAGGCAACGGAGUCUCAAGGAUCGGCUGCGAGAAGGAAUCACCGGCGGAUUCGCUUGGCAGUGAGUAUACAUCGCCGGCGUGAUUUACGCAAUGGAGAAAACCGUACGGGGGGAUUCGUUUUUAACUUCCACACGACCCUUCGCUGCUUUAGCAUCCUUUGUACUUGAUUUUCUCCCACGUCCUCCUCUUGCCAGCCGUAAUUUUCUUCCACGCUCUUAAAGGAUUUGCUCUGAGACGUUAAUAAACGCUACUGAUGGUAUUACAUCGUUAAACGGAACUUUGCGAAACGUCAGGCUGUAAGAGUUAUAAAACUAGACUGGAUGAGAACAGAGUAUAUAUUCCGAUGAUAUAUAUACUUUUCUUAUCUUUUAAUCGCCAAAUAAUGAUUUAGUUUGGAAAAGGUGUUUACUCACACAUCGACGCAAGACAACGUGUACAAGUACGUAUACUUCAGGCUAAUUAUUUUUCGAAUUGUAAGUCUUGUGGCUUCGUGAAACGGGAAAGAAGUGAAAUUAUUUUAGAGGAGAAUAAGAAAUCUUUCCGCGCUAUGUGCUAUUCUGUCAUAUCGUUCUUGAUUAAGGAUGUUUUAGCUCUACAGUACCGGCUAAAAAUGGAAAUUUAAAAACUGCAGGUUUCUUAGAGUUAUUCUUUUUUUUUUUUCGAAUCAGUGACAAAAAUUUUCGAUAAUAUCUAAUAAAAAAUCGUAAUUUUAGGGCUAUCACAAAUUACAAAAAAAAAAAAACAACGGGAAAUUUGAGCUAUAAUGAUUUAUACAACGAGAUGAUUAUAUUUUGCUGCAGUUUUAGGUAAAUGUACAUAACUUUUAAACGAGUAAGUGAAUCCAAAUAAACUACGAAUAUUUAUUAGAGUUUUAUUACGUGCAAAACGUGUACGUGCAAAAUUUAAUUUAAUUCGUAAUGCUAUUUUCUGAUCAAAUUUGCACAUAUUGCGUUGUAAAACGUGAUUUUGCAUAAGAAUCAAGAGUAAACAAAAAAUUAAAUCAUUUUUUAACUAAUAAGGGAAUAAAAAAUUUUAUAAGAAUGUUCGAAUUUUGAAACGUAAUAAUAGAGCAAUCUACAAUAUUUUUGAUAAUAUUUUAAUAUAUAACACACAUAUAUCUUUAAAGUUUUCGCGCACUUUUUUCUAUUCGAACAAAUCGUAUUUCGUAACGUAACGUAAACGUUUCGCGAGGCAUUCAAUAAUUAAUAUGCACCCCUUACAGUACAGCGUAUUGUAUCGCACGAACCGUAUUAUGAUUAUUUAACGUCGCAAUUGUUAACGCGAUAUCGCCCCGGGAGAAUGCGAUUAACGCUGUAGAAAACUUUAUGAAUUGGGCGCAUAAUUUUUGCACGGGAAUUUUUUCUCCCUCGAAACCCCGGACUCGGUGUAUAGCGCGUGUUACAUUAUAAAGUAAGGAUUAUCGAUCAUUUUAAUAAAUGAGCGGUGUGUGAAACCGCCAUUACCAUAAGACCGGAUAAGCCGGACAGUGUAUAUAGUAGAAAGUGUACCCAGCAGAUGGCGGUCGCAGGUACUCUGAUUAUUAUCCACUUUUAUAAUGCAUUAUCAUAUCAGCGUCUUCAGAAAAAAAAAAAA
Monomorium pharaonis (pharaoh ant) is the source of this 2899-nucleotide long non-coding RNA. RefSeq lists it as uncharacterized. NCBI's taxonomy places the organism in Eukaryota, Metazoa, Arthropoda, Insecta, Hymenoptera, Formicidae. The record is from RefSeq and is a predicted model, not a curated record. The transcript is spliced from 2 exons.